RNAcentral lists this ribosomal RNA (448 nucleotides) under uncultured bacterium. RNAcentral's name for it is "bacterial SSU rRNA". It matches the Rfam family "Bacterial small subunit ribosomal RNA", at positions 329 to 794 of the family's 1533-position model. The record is from RNAcentral.
CUCCAGACUCCUACGGGAGGCAGCAGUGGGGAAUAUUGCACAAUGGGGGAAACCCUGAUGCAGCGACGCCGCGUGAGCGAUGAAGUAUUUCGGUAUGUAAAGCUCUAUCAGCAGGGAAGAAGAUGACGGUACCUGACUAAGAAGCCCCGGCUAACUACGUGCCAGCAGCCGCGGUAAUACGUAGGGGGCAAGCGUUAUCCGGAUUUACUGGGUGUAAAGGGAGCGUAGACGGCGAUGCAAGCCAGAUGUGAAAGCCCGGGGCUCAACCCCGGGACUGCAUUUGGAACUGUGUGGCUGGAGUGUCGGAGAGGCAGGCGGAAUUCCUAGUGUAGCGGUGAAAUGCGUAGAUAUUAGGAGGAACACCAGUGGCGAAGGCGGCCUGCUGGACGAUGACUGACGUUGAGGCUCGAAAGCGUGGGGAGCAAACAGGAUUAGAUACCCGAGUAAA